RNAcentral lists this transfer RNA (74 nucleotides) under Bacteroidales bacterium. RNAcentral's name for it is "tRNA-Ile". It matches the Rfam family "tRNA". Rfam says of the family: Transfer RNA (tRNA) molecules are approximately 80 nucleotides in length. Their secondary structure includes four short double-helical elements and three loops (D, anti-codon, and T loops). Further hydrogen bonds mediate the characteristic L-shaped molecular structure. tRNAs have two regions of fundamental functional importance: the anti-codon, which is responsible for specific mRNA codon recognition, and the 3' end, to which the tRNAs corresponding amino acid is attached (by aminoacyl-tRNA synthetases). tRNAs cope with the degeneracy of the genetic code in two manners: having more than one tRNA (with a specific anti-codon) for a particular amino acid; and 'wobble' base-pairing, i.e. permitting non-standard base-pairing at the 3rd anti-codon position. Lineage: Bacteria; Pseudomonadati; Bacteroidota; Bacteroidia; Bacteroidales. The record is from RNAcentral.
GGAUUCAUAGCUCAGUCGGUCAGAGCAGUUGACUCAUAAUCAAUUGGUCGGGGGUUCAAGUCCCUCUGAAUCCA